AUUCUGCCCAUGCGGGGAAGGAUGAGAAGCUUUGACUAAGGUUCGACUCGAGCGCCAGCGAGAGAGCAUUGCCGCAGGCAACGACCCGUAGGGCGAAGCGCGCAGCGCUGAGUAAUCCUUCCCCCACCACCA
Molecule: small RNA, 132 nt
Filed under: Escherichia coli
Lineage: Bacteria; Pseudomonadati; Pseudomonadota; Gammaproteobacteria; Enterobacterales; Enterobacteriaceae
Description: RtT sRNA
Rfam family: RtT RNA
About the family: This family represents a bacterial cis-regulatory element known as RtT RNA.
Source: RNAcentral